Molecule: unclassified non-coding RNA, 329 nt
Filed under: plant metagenome
Description: partial contains 5.8S ribosomal RNA, internal transcribed spacer 2, and large subunit ribosomal RNA
Rfam family: 5.8S ribosomal RNA (bases 1-105)
Source: RNAcentral
GAAAUGCGAUAAGUAAUGUGAAUUGCAGAAUUCCGUGAAUCAUCGAAUCUUUGAACGCACAUUGCGCCCUCUGGUAUUCCGGGGGGCAUGCCUGUCCGAGCGUCAUUGCGUACCCCUCAAGCACGGCUUGUGUGAUGGGCCCUCCCGCGUCUUGGUCGUCAAGACGGGCCCGAAAAGCAGUGGCGGCUUCGCGGUUAUCCGAUCAGCCAGAGCGUAUGGGGACUUUCUCUCUGUCACACGCCCGCGGCGCGGACCGACGCCUGUCGACCUUUAUUCAUCUUUUUCUCGGUUGACCUCGGAUCAGGUAGGGAUACCCGCUGAACUUAAGC